AACGAACGCUGGCGGCGCGCCUAAUACAUGCAAGUCGAGCGAGAAGACGUAGCAAUACGUUUGUAAAGCGGCGAACGGGUGAGGAAUACAUGGGUAACCUACCCUCGAGUGGGGAAUAACUAGCCGAAAGGUUAGCUAAUACCGCGUACGCUCCUUGGACUUCGGUUCAGGGAGGAAAGCGAUACCGUGGGUAUCGCGCUCUUGGAUGGGCUCAUGUCCUAUCAGCUUGUUGGUGAGGUAACGGCUCACCAAGGCUUCGACGGGUAGCUGGUCUGGGAGGACGAUCAGCCACACUGGCACUGCGACACGGGCCAGACUCCUACGGGAGGCAGCAGUAAGGAAUAUUGCGCAAUGGGCGAAAGCCUGACGCAGCGACGCCGCAUGGGGGAUGAAGGUCUUCGGAUUGUAAACCCCUUUCGGGAGGGAAGAUGGAAUGGGUAACCCAUUCGGACGGUACCUCCAGAAGCAGCCACGGCUAACUUCGUGCC
This 488-nucleotide ribosomal RNA is filed under the name uncultured bacterium. Its description in RNAcentral is "bacterial SSU rRNA". It matches the Rfam family "Bacterial small subunit ribosomal RNA", at positions 29 to 509 of the family's 1533-position model. The record is from RNAcentral.